This 842-nucleotide ribosomal RNA is filed under the name uncultured bacterium. Its description in RNAcentral is "bacterial SSU rRNA". It matches the Rfam family "Bacterial small subunit ribosomal RNA", at positions 54 to 886 of the family's 1533-position model. The record is from RNAcentral.
CAUGCAAGUCGAGGGGAAACGACAUCGAAAGCUUGCUUUUGAUGGGCGUCGACCGGCGCACGGGUGAGUAACGCGUAUCCAACCUGCCCACCACUUGGGGAUAACCUUGCGAAAGUAAGACUAAUACCCAAUGAUAUCUCUAGAAGACAUCUGAAAGAGAUUAAAGAUUUACCGGUGAUGGAUGGGGAUGCGUCUGAUUAGCUUGUUGGCGGGGUAACGGCCCACCAAGGCAACGAUCAGUAGGGGUUCUGAGAGGAAGGCCCCCCACAUUGGAACUGAGACACGGUCCAAACUCCUACGGGAGGCAGCAGUGAGGAAUAUUGGUCAAUGGACGAGAGUCUGAACCAGCCAAGUAGCGUGCAGGAUGACGGCCCUAUGGGUCGUAAACUGCUUUUAUAAGGGAAUAAAGUGAGUCUCGUGAGACUUUUUGCAUGUACCUUAUGAAUAAGGACCGGCUAAUUCCGUGCCAGCAGCCGCGGUAAUACGGAAGGUCCGGGCGCUAUCCGGAUUUAUUGGGUUUAAAGGGAGCGUAGGCCGGAGAUUAAGCGUGUUGUGAAAUGUAGACGCUCAACGUCUGCACUGCAGCGCGAACUGGUUUCCUUGAGUACGCACAAAGUGGGCGGAAUUCGUGGUGUAGCGGUGAAAUGCUUAGAUAUCACGAAGAACUCCGAUUGCGAAGGCAGCUCACUGGAGCGCAACUGACGCUGAAGCUCGAAAGUGCGGGUAUCGAACAGGAUUAGAUACCCUGGUAGUCCGCACGGUAAACGAUGGAUGCCCGCUGUUGGUCUGAAUAGGUCAGCGGCCAAGCGAAAGCAUUAAGCAUCCCACCUGGGGAGUACGCC